AAAAAAAAAAAAAAAAAAAAAAAAAAAAAGAAGAGAAAGAAAGAAAAUCAAUAUAAAAAUAAAAAUACCUUCCGAGAAUACCGUGAACCAUAAUAACCAGAUGAUCAACAGAACCAUCGGACUGUUUACAGCUAAAAAGAUCCUCCCCUCCGUUCUCCUUUCCCGAUGAACACGAGAAGCCCUCUUUACCUUCGUUUUCCAUUUCUCCUUCAAUUUAUUUGAUUAAUUUCUUUCUUAAUUUAAUCCAACUUCACCGACUUCACAUAAAACAAAACUGAAAAAUGCAAUAAUUAUAGGUUACAGUUUAUGAAAUCAAAAUUUCUUUUUGUAUCAAAUUGGAGUUAAGAAUUAAUGAGCUUAAGAUAUCUUACAAGAUUUGCAUCUUUCCUGCUACGUCUGGUGCACUGACUACUUUUAUGCAUGUGAGGAAUCGGGUCGAGUUCGGUAUUUGGACACGUUCAUGGUUCGAAUAGUGUUAUUGGAUAAUGUAAUAUGGAUAUUUG
RNAcentral lists this long non-coding RNA (503 nucleotides) under Olea europaea (common olive). RNAcentral describes it as "long non-coding RNA (OEUR_LNC012029)". Lineage: Eukaryota; Viridiplantae; Streptophyta; Magnoliopsida; Lamiales; Oleaceae. The record is from RNAcentral.